This 376-nucleotide ribosomal RNA is filed under the name uncultured bacterium. Its description in RNAcentral is "bacterial SSU rRNA". It matches the Rfam family "Bacterial small subunit ribosomal RNA", at positions 524 to 898 of the family's 1533-position model. The record is from RNAcentral.
UACGUAGGUGGCAAGCGUUGUCCGGAUUUACUGGGCGUAAAGGGAGUGUAGGCGGAUACUUAAGUCAGAUGUGAAAUACCCGGGCUCAACCUGGGUGCUGCAUUUGAAACUGGGUGUCUAGAGUGCAGGAGAGGAAAGUGGAAUUCCUAGUGUAGCGGUGAAAUGCGUAGAGAUUAGGAAGAACACCAGUGGCGAAGGCGACUUUCUGGACUGUAACUGACGCUGAGGCUCGAAAGCGUGGGGAGCAAACAGGAUUAGAUACCCUGGUAGUCCACGCCGUAAACGAUGGGUGCUAGGUGUGGGAGGGAUCGACUCCUUCCGUGCCGCCGUAAACACAAUAAGUACCCCGCCUGGGGAGUACGGUCGCAAGAUUAAA